UACAGAGGUCCCCAAGCGUUGUUCGGAUUCACUGGGCGUAAAGGGUGCGUAGGUGGUUGGGUAAGUCUGAUGUGAAAUCUCCGAGCUCAACUCGGAAACUGCAUCGGAUACUAUUUAACUAGAGGGUUGGAGGGGGACGUGGAAUACUUGGUGUAGCAGUGAAAUAGCGUAGAUAUCAAGUGGAACGACCAGUGGCGAAGGCGAGUCCCUGGACUGAUACUGACACUGAGGUGCGAAAGCGU
This 242-nucleotide ribosomal RNA is filed under the name uncultured bacterium. Its description in RNAcentral is "partial 16S ribosomal RNA". It matches the Rfam family "Bacterial small subunit ribosomal RNA", at positions 524 to 762 of the family's 1533-position model. The record is from RNAcentral.